UUGAUGUUAAUAUGCAAUCAAAUAUAUUCUACACGUAAACCUUAGUUAAGUUUGUAGAUAAAUUUCAUUGAAUACUUGAAUUUUUAGCUGGAAUUUUUUUAAAAUUUUAAUAUUUAUUUCAUAUUGGUAGCCUCAAAUUUUUACUUAAAAUUCCCAGCAAUUCCUAAACAUUUCUAGAAUUUCCUGAAAAUUCCCAGAAACUCCUGAAAAUUCCUAGAAAUUUCUAGGAAUUUUUUAGAUUUACAGCUUUUCAGCAAAAGUCAUUGGUGCUCUGAGUUGGAAUUCCUAGGAAUUCCAAGUCCUGUCGGCUAUAAACUUGGAAUUUCUGAGAAUUUCUGGGAUUUUCUAGGUUUUUAGAACCAGAGUUGUUAUAGUUGGGAAUUCCUAGGAAUUCCUGUGAAAAUUCACACCUCUUAUUCCUAGGAUAAUCUUAGGAAUUCCAAAAUCCAUUUUGCAAGGGUCUUGUCUCAGAAAAAAUACUAACAUCUGUACUUGAAUAAUUCAAAUCAUUGCAGACAUCAUCAAUAUAUCUGUACAGUGACCUUUUAUUUAAGUAAUAUUAAAUUUAAAUAAUAUUAAAUUUAAUAAUAUUUGAUGAGUAUUGUGAAUAAGAGUUAUAGACAAAUUUAACUUAGUUUUGUUUCUAAAACAUUAUAUUUUUUUAACAUCAUGGCCAGCUGACAGCUAUUUUGUCCUCAUAAAGGUCAAUAAUAUAUAUAAACCUUCUAUAUUUGUUACUCUACUCAAUCCUACAUAGUGAAUAUGUGCUAUUGCCAUUUUAGUAUCUAAAAUUUACAACUAUGGUAUUUUAGUUUCACUAGAACCCUGCAAUCUGUGAAUGGUUUAAGCAGUGGCAAGUCUUAAUAGAAACUGUUUUAUUACAACCUGUACUGUUCUAUUUGUACCAAAAGCAAACUAUGAGGUCACUGUUUUGAUAUAGGUGUCCACCUACAUGAUCAAUAUCUUAUACAUGGAGAUGUAUAUUUUCUUGUCUUGUUUUCUCACCAAUAUCAGCAUGGUCAAACUGCGCCCAUAUGAUGCCUGAUGGUUUACCAGCUCGCUACUCUGAAACCCAGCUCCAAAAACAUUGUAAUAUGCUUUGAUGGAAUACUAUGGUCUAGAUAAGACACGAACUUUGUCAUAGAAUUCAUUUACUUUGGCAUUUUGAAUGAAGAAAUGAGGAGCAUCCAGUGGAUAAUUGUUGUUGCCAGUUCGUAUCAAUCUCUCAUUAAAUUUUGUUGUACCCUCUUUAGUAUGUUUACCCUCCCUUAGUAUACUUAAAAUUUCAGCAUACAGCCUACUUUCCCUCUGUCUUAAUACUUGAUGCAGUUUAAACAUCUUAAAAUGUUCUUGCCAAAGGUUUGGGGUAAGAAUACUAUAUUAAGAAUCAUUCAUCUCUUUAAAUAUAUAACCAUCCAUGACUGGUUUCAGCUGAAAUAAAUCACCUACAGCAACAAUACUGACACCACCAAAGGGUAAUGAGCUUCCUUUAUUGUCUUUAAGUCUACAGUUUAUUUGUACAUUAAACAUACCAUUGCCAACAAUAGAGAUCUCAUCUAUAAAUAUAAGUUUGAUUGCACUGAGCUGGCUUCGUAAAGUAUUGAGUCUAAGUACUAGAAUCAAAACUUUUAUAAGUCUUCAAUAAAUGGAAAGCAGCUGUUCAUAGAUCUGUAUGUAUAGUAUUACACUUAAUAUUAUAACUGCUUUGCCAGUAGGUGCUAGCAUCAAUACCAUUACUUCAUGAAAGUCAAAAUCAGCUCUAGUAUUAUAAUAUUUAAAUCCUGAUCCUCUACUGAGAAAACAGUAGAAAGGCCCAUCUGAGGUUUAUCGUAAGUGCAGUACAUGAUAAAAUAAUUCCUUUUGCUUGUUGUCUAAUAUUUGAACAAUCUGCCUAUACUCUUCAUCUUUCAAUUCAUUUUGCAUUAAUUGCUCAUAGUUUGCAUCAACUGUUGGUAUCCCUUUGUCAUCUGAUAAGUAAUAAUUCUCAUUAAAAUCAGGUUGUAGAUCUUCAUUUCCCAGUGCCUUAUCACUGUGUUCAACAUUUUAAGUAUAUGGUGCUAUCAAGUCAUAUUCUUUAUCUGUGUCUUCCACAUGUUAUUAACCUGUUCCUGUAAUUCAUUAAAAUCUUUAUGAUAUAUUGACACAUGA
This 2148-nucleotide long non-coding RNA is filed under the name Pocillopora damicornis (cauliflower coral). Its description in RNAcentral is "uncharacterized LOC113686978". The record is from RNAcentral. Lineage: Eukaryota; Metazoa; Cnidaria; Anthozoa; Scleractinia; Pocilloporidae.